Molecule: long non-coding RNA, 5052 nt
Filed under: Homo sapiens (human)
Lineage: Eukaryota; Metazoa; Chordata; Mammalia; Primates; Hominidae
Description: long non-coding RNA NONHSAT192167.1
Source: RNAcentral
UUUCAAAUUUUCUCAUAGAAACCACUUAUAUUUAAUACUUUCAAAAGUUCUUAACUUACAUUUUAUAAAAAGCAAUACAAUUCUUUCUACUAAUUUUUGAAAAAUUAUCGUGAUGGCGGGUGUUACAUACACUAAAAAGUUAAUCAAUAUUCAGCAUUUUGCAGUGGUUCAAAUAUAGCAACAAAGUAAACACAUUUCACAAAUAUCUACUAAGCAGGUGUUAGGUCACCAUUUUUUACUCUUUAAGAUCUGGAGAAAUUGCAGCGAUGAAGUGAACUUGUUAGGCAAAAUAUUUCCUUAUUUUUGCCUCUCAUAUUUUGCCCUAAUCUAGGCCAUGCUUCAUUUGCUUUUUAUAUAAUUUAAGGCUGAUGAAGGUAAGUUGCGUUCAGCCUAGGACACAGUGAUCUAGGAUUUAGCCAAAAGGCAAAUAUCUUUCUUCCUGCUGCUCAAUUUUAGCAGCUCCAUUUAAACAGCUGGUAGAAAGUAAAGCUUCAGUUUAUGUGCACAUAGGAGGAAAAUAAUAUUUUGUGUUUUCUAUUGUGUGUUGAACUAAGUCCUUGGCUUAUUCUACUGACCGACAAUGGAGAUUUCCUUAAAUAAAUAGGUAAACACAUUCUAAGUUGGGUGUUCAUUCAUUCAACUCCCUCUUUCCCUCAUCCCUCCUCUUUCUGUCCUCUUCCUUCCUCCUUUCCCCCGACUUCCCUCCCUCUCCUUGUACCUUUGCUCUUUCUUCUACCUUUCUUCCUUUGUUCUCUCUCCUGAGCUCUGUCUUUGUUACAGUCAAUGCUCUUGUGCAAAUGUAGUAGAGAAUAAAACACCUGUACCCUAUGCAUUGCAGCUUACAUUGUAGUGGGAGAGGUAGACAGUAAAGAAGCAAAUAUAAACAUGCGACAAUUUUUGCUCAUCGUAAGUGCUACAAAGUGUUUUGUGGUGUGUGUGUGUGAAUGGAUGCGAGAUAGAGACAGCAGGACAGUGAGAAUGAAUGAGAAUCAUGAAAGGCCUCCUCAAGGAAAGGGAUAUGUGAAGUGAGCUAGUGAGCUGUUCAUUUAGAAGAUCCAGGAAAAGUGUGUGAGGCAGUGGGAAUAGCCGGUAAGAAACCCUGAGAAGGGAAUGAGCUUGGUGUCAGAGAAACUACAGUACAGAAGCUUGGCCUAAGUGAAGUGAGCUUGGGGGGAGCACUGUGAGAUGAGGCCAGAGAAGGAAAUGGUGACUCCAGAGGACGUGGGUAGGCUAUGGUGAAGAGUUUCAGUUUGAUUCCAAGUGUAGUCAAAAGACAGUGGUCCAUGUGUGGUAUUAUUUCAUUUUGUCAUUUAGACAUUUUGAAAACAUCUCUAAUUUGAUCAAAAUACUUAAGUUCAAAUUCUCAUGUUAGUUUUGUCUUCCAGAAAUAGAAAAAGAAAUACAUGUGGCAAAAACUGACAACAUUGAAAAAAGAUGAACAAAUCUACAAUUACAAAUGGAGAGUUCAACACUUCACUGUUGAUGAUGGAUAGAAUAAAUAGACAGAUGGCCGCGCGGUGGCUCACGCCUGUAAUCCCAGCACUUUGGGAGGGCAAGGCGGGUGGAUCACCUGAGGUCAGGAGAUCGAGACCAGUCUGGCCAACAUGGUGAAACCCCGUAUCUACUAAAAAUGCAAAAAUUAGCCGGCCAUGAUCGCGGGUGCCUGUAAUCCUAGCUACUCGGGAGGCUGAGGCAGGAGAAUUGCUUGAACCUGGGAGGCAGAGGUUGCAGUGAGCCAAGAUCGCGCCAUUGCACUCCAGCCUGGGCGACAGAGCAAGACUCCAUCUCAAAAAUAAAUAAAUAAAUAAACAGACAGACAUUCUGUAAAGAUUCAGAGGAUGAUCUUUUAUUUCUAUGGAUUUAGGGGGUACAAGUGCAAUUUUGUUACCUAGAUACAUUGCAUAGUGGUGAACUCUGGGCUUUUAGUGUACAUUGUACUCAAUCUGUGAUUUUUCAUGGCUUACUCCUCUCCCAUCCUCCUGCCUUUUGGAGUUUCCAGUGUCUAUUAUUUUACUCCCUAUGUCCAUGUGUACCCAUUGUUUAGCUCCCACUUGUAAAUGAGAAUGUGCAGUAUUUGAGUCUCUGUUUCUGACUGACUUCACUUAGGAUAAUGGCCUUCAGUUCCAUCUGUGUUGCUGCAGAGGACCAUCUUGAAGAACUCUAUCAAGCCCACUUGGUUUAAUUGCCUUUGUAUUCUUUUAAAUGAAACACUCCACCCUAUAAGAACAGAAUGCACCCUUUCUUCAAGUGCCAUACAGCAUUCCGUUAGAUAGACCAAAAGUUUCAAUGCAUUUAAAAGCAUUGAAAUCAUACCAAGCAUGUUCUCUGACCACAACAGAGCUAAACAGAAAAUCAGUGUCUGAAAAAUCCCCAAAUAUUUUGAAAUUAAACUACACCCUUCUGAAGGACUCACGGAUCAAAGAAGAAAUGACAAGGGAAAUUAGAAAGUCCUUUGAAAUGAAUAAAAAUGAAGAGACAACGAUUACUCUUAAAAUCAGAAUACUAACAUACGAACAGAUAGAGAUGUGUAUCCUUCCCAUUUGCCUGCUUCUUGAAUUUCCUACUUCCUGCCUAUGUUGGGGUCGUUGCAGUUUCUCCAUGGGAGGAGCGUGGCUGUGCUCCUGCUGCAGGUGUGCGCCUGACCCUGGUAAAGUCUGGCUAUGCCUAUUUAACUAGUACUCUUAGUCAUUCUACUCUAGUUUGAGUGAACGAACACUUACCAUUUUCAAAGGCCACGUUCCGGGAACUAUGAGGGGAAUUUAUGGAUCAGUUACAGACCAGUUCAAGUUACAAGAUCCUUAUGCUAAUGUUAAUUAAAAUCUCAUCACAGCCACUUCCUUUUUCAGUCCCACCUGGGGAAUUCUGGUCCACUUCAUCUCUACAUGGUAGACUUUGUGAGUCUUUCUUCAGUUCCUUUCUGCAGCUUCUGUUUCUGCGAACUCUCCGUUUAAUUGUUUUGACUUUUUGGAAUUUUAUAAUCUUCAAGUAUCUCUACCUUCAGUCUGGUAUCAGCUUGUUCUAUUUAAUUUUGUUUAUCUAGGCGUCACCAUUAGGCAUUAAGCUAGGCACUAGGUUUUCAAAUGGAAUGGGAGCCUUAUAAAUCAGGUAAUUAAUUAGUGUGUGGUAAAUAUUUUGACAGAAUGUUGGAAAGGCUAAGUAAACAUUCAUUCAGUGAACAUUUAUUGGCCACCUACUGUGUACCAGGCAUUGUGCAAUAGGGUCUGUCUCAUCAGAGAAGACUUCAGAGCACAGUUGGCUUUUGAGUCCAAUUCUGGUUAUUUCAGGAGUUUUCAAGGUACAGAGAGGGGCGUGGUAUUCUAGGCAAAGGUGUUUAAAGGUGAGGCUUGUAGUUGUGAAGGAGUAAAGCAUGACCUGGGAAUGGGUAAUCUGCUCUGGCACUAGGUAUUCGGUAGGGACUUGGAAAUAGUGAGUGAGUGGCAAGAGAAAGGACUAGAAAGGUUUGGGAAGAAAGGACUAGAAGGGUUCUGGUGUUUUUUUUUUUGUUUGUUUGUUUUUUUUUUAGGGAGUUUGGUCCUAUUUUAGUGGGCAUAGUGUUUAUUAGUGUCUUGGUGAUUCUCACCAACACAUACUGUCUGUAUCUCUUAUUCCUUUGGUUGUUAUUUUGGUCACUACAAUGGUCAGCGGCUCCAAGUGGUGGUGGUGAAUGCCAGCCCUGUCGUAUCAUACUUUUGUGGAAAGUGGGGGGCGGGGGUGAACAUGAAUAGAGAAGGAAUCCUGAAGCAAGGAGCCAAGUAUGUGGUAUUUUUCUGCCUGGAGUAUUUCCUUCUAGGAAUUAAUUAAUUCACUAGCUUCUUGAAAUCUUUUUUUUAAAAAAAAAAGUAGAGGAGGAAGAGGUUGAGGUAUAAACACAUUGCUUUGAAAACACCCUUGUGGGAUAAAAUUUCAAUUAAUUGCCCACCCUGAAAUUUUUUAUUUUUUUCCUUUAGGUUUCUUGCUAUUUAAAGAUUUUUGUUUGAAUGAAAUUAAUGAAGCUGUACCUCAGGUGAAGUUUUAUGAAGAGGUAAGAAGUAACUGUUUUACUGAUGCUUUUCUUUCAAAAGCAUAUUUAAACUGUACUUUGGAACAUAUUAAGACUACUUAAUAUCUUACAAAUAUUUAGAAAUUCAUUGAAAGUAAUUAGUAGUGCAAAAUAUAGUAUCAAGUUUGAGAUGCUAACAGGUAUGAAAAGCUGAGUAUGCCAUAAAAGUCGCAUUCUUAAAGGCUUCAGAGUGCUAUGGAAGCAAUGAGGGACAGUUGGACUAAAGUUCCAGAGAUGGGAGGCUCAUCCAGAGCUGCACCAAGGAGGACCAGUUAUUUUAUUUUCUGUGGAAGCGUGCUAGUUCUGGAGAUGUGAGCAGAGGCAGAGGACUGCUACUAGCUUUGAAAGAGAUACUAGCCAGGAUCACGAGGUCAGGAGUUCAAGACCAGCCUGACCAACAUGGUGAAACCCUGUCUCUACUAAAAAUACAAAAAUUAGCCAGGUGUGGUGGUGCAUGCCUGUAAUUUCAGCUACUCAAGAGGCUGAGGCAGGAGAAUCACUUGAACCCGGGAGGCAGAAGUUGCAGUGAGCUGAUAUCUUGCCAUUGCACUCUAGCCUGGGUGACCGAGGGAGACUUUGUCUCAAAAAAAAAAAAAAAAAAAAAAAGAAAAAGAAAAAAAAUGAAAUGGCCAUCAUUAAAGGAGAGAAAGAUAAUUGCCAGCCUAGAAUUCUAUUCCCAGCAAAAAUUUCCUUCAAAAAUGGAGGACGAGGAGGUGGAGGAAGGAGAGGGCCCCGGGCCUCACCUCCACCCACCGCCCCCUCCCACCACCCGGAGCUGCAGCAGCAGCGACUCAUGAGAGCACAGCCAGAGGACAGAUUUGAUAAUGGGCUGCAUUAAAAGCAAAGAAAACAAAAGUCCAGCCAUUAAAUACCUGAAAAUACUCCAGAGCCUGUCAGUACAAGGGUGAGCCAUGGGAGCAGAACCCACUGCAGUGUCACCAUGUCCAUCAUCUUCAGCAAAGGGAACAGCAGUUAAUUUCAGCCGUCUUUCCAUUCCAUUAUACCAUUUGGAG